Molecule: RNA transcript, 2427 nt
Organism: Branchiostoma floridae (Florida lancelet)
Lineage: Eukaryota; Metazoa; Chordata; Leptocardii; Amphioxiformes; Branchiostomatidae
Exons: 4
Source: RefSeq, a predicted model, not a curated record
CAUCAUCACCCUCCAUCGCACACUCUAUGCCUUGAGGGCGUCUUAUAGACUGGAACUUCCACAAACAACAUACCACAAAAGCAACAUGGCCGCUGAACACUUAGAGGUAGUGCUCAUUUUAUAGAGCAUAGGCUGUACCUGUUGCAAGAGAGUGCGAUAGUUACAUUAAUUUUUAAUUAAGGGAUCACCAUAUCUGUUUUUCUGGCCAAUGCUUGGUUGUUCUGGGUGAGUAUGGGAGGGUAUGAUAGACGCACCAUCGUGGUUUACAGCACACGAACAUGUCCAAACUUAACGUGAGAAGCACCAACUCGUCACAACUCAUUCCUUCUCACUGACAACCCGUCCAAAAUGCCGGGAACUGAAGCCUUCACCAAGCCUUUCCAGGACGGGUUGGCGAAGUUUUUCCACUUCUACAGCCGACUCGAGACGAAGGAACUGCCAAAUGAUCUGGAGACUGGGAAAAGGAAGAGAGAGAAACCACAUGUGUCAAAGUUAGACCUGAGAGACUUGGAGGAUGAUGACGUGGUUAUAUUUGACCGGACGUGGUACGUCAUACGCCCGUCAGGACGUCAUUGUGACGUCGAUCCUUUGGUGAUGACGCUACGUCCACCUGGACAGACUGACGUCACCAGGACGCUGAGACGUCUGAGAGGAAUGACCACCUGCUGCUCUGUCCUUGGAUGGAUCACAACUACGUGCCCCCUCCUUUGUGUCUGCCGGCGGAGUGGGCAUCAGGCCCUCUAGCCGCAUGUAUCAUGUGCACCCGAGAUCUGGACGGGAUCAUGAACUCUAUUUGGUGACUUCACAAGAUUCCCUAACAACAGGAAUCUGGAGGCGAGACUGACAAUGCAACCGCGAAACCUACACAUCUCCCGAUAUAAGGAACAGCAGUAGUUGCUGUACCCAGUUCUGCACUGACAGCAAGAGAUGGUCCAGCUGACAUGGGAUGCUGUUCGUUCUAAGCUCCCUUAUUCAGGCAAGAAAGGGCGAUGAACAGCUAGAAAACCAUUCUUAAUGUUCUCCUUCUGAGUGGAUAGCUUACAAGUAAAUGUCUUUUUUUAAGUAACCAAUCAAGAAAGUGGAAAUUCUUUUCAUAGUCUAACAUCAUUUGAAUUCAGGUUCUGUGCCAUAAACUAUAUAAUAUCAGUUUCAACAUUUUCAUACAAGCUCUGCACUGUGAUACAGAGAGCAGAGAGCCAAGCCAUUGACAGGAGACUGGAUUUAUUGUGAGGUAAUCAAAAUAUGUUCAUCAUAAUACAACAGAGAAGUAAAUGUAAUGAAUUAACUGUAUCUCAUUUAAUUUCAUUACAGAAAUUCAUGUCACAUGAUGGUGCACUUUGAACUGUAGCGCACCAAGGGGUACUAUUUAAACUGUACCAAGCAUUCCAUACAUGGAAGGGAGGCAAGUUAGAUAUAACGUUAAACAUAAUUACAAUUUUAUGAUGCAUGAAAUGACAAUGUUUAGAAAAUCUACAGAAAACAUUGCAUUUGUAUGAUGAUAUGACUUACAACAAUUGUAAAAGGCAAGACAUCACUUUAUGUGUAUUUGCAAUACAAAAUCUACCCCAAUUAUAGCUAAGGAAGGAUAUGAUAGAUGUAAACAUUUGUAUUUUCUGUUCGUUAACAUAUACAAGACUUAGUACAAUACUUAAUUUGUAUCAUGAUAACAUUGUGUGAAUAUUGGAGGAACCCAGCCUCUUAGAAAUGUCUUUUGUUACAAGCUUACAUCAUAUAGAUAGGAAAACAAAUAAUUAUGAAAUAUACACACCGUACAAAGACACAGUACAUAUACAUAAUGAAAUAAGAGAAUAUUUUUGAAUUAUGGAAGAGUUGUAGUCUACAGUUUGAGAUCUAAAUGUACAAUAUCUAUAUAUAUAUUGCUGCAGAAUUUUGUUACUAUUUUGUUUAACACUUAAAUUAGAUAAAGAUUAAAUUUGACUGUAAUGUUUGUAAAAUUUGAAAGAACAGGCUCAUUGGUGAUAGCCUACAUGUACAUGUAUAAAAAGCUACCCAUAAGGUGAAGAACAAGUAGCAAGGCACUUUGAAUCAUUAGGUAAACAAACACUGCCAAUAGAAAUGGUUCCUUGGCAGGCUUUUGGGAGAAAAGAGAUUAAUCUCUAUUAUCUUCAAUAGAUAUGCUAUACAUGUUACUACUGGCCACCAGAGUGUCAUGGUUUCACUUGUCAUGCAAUGCUCCUUCCAUUACUGACGGAACGAUAUAAAAAAAACUGUAUAUACUCUAAAGUAAUUCACUAUAGAUCUGUCUGCCAAUAUAGUCUAUUAUCUAUUUUUUUCUACCAUGGAUGAAAUCUUCAAUAUUCAAUAACAAUGUGACAAGCGAGACUGGGAUUCUGACGAGCUUGUCCUUAUAAAAUGAGGGGAAGACAUGUUUGAAAAAAAGCUUGACAUUAAAAUAAAAAAGAAGUA